This 594-nucleotide ribosomal RNA is filed under the name uncultured bacterium. RNAcentral describes it as "bacterial SSU rRNA". It matches the Rfam family "Bacterial small subunit ribosomal RNA", at positions 924 to 1522 of the family's 1533-position model. The record is from RNAcentral.
CACAAGCGGUGGAUGAUGUGGAUUAAUUCGAUGCAACGCGAAAAACCUUACCUACCCUUGACAUGUCUGGAAUGCCGAAGAGAUUUGGCAGUGCUCGCAAGAGAACCGGAACACAGGUGCUGCAUGGCUGUCGUCAGCUCGUGUCGUGAGAUGUUGGGUUAAGUCCCGCAACGAGCGCAACCCUUGUCAUUAGUUGCUACGCAAGAGCACUCUAAUGAGACUGCCGGUGACAAACCGGAGGAAGGUGGGGAUGACGUCAAGUCCUCAUGGCCCUUAUGGGUAGGGCUUCACACGUCAUACAAUGGUCGGGACAGAGGGUCGCCAACCCGCGAGGGGGAGCCAAUCUCAGAAACCCGAUCGUAGUCCGGAUCGCAGUCUGCAACUCGACUGCGUGAAGUCGGAAUCGCUAGUAAUCGCGGAUCAGAAUGUCGCGGUGAAUACGUUCCCGGGUCUUGUACACACCGCCCGUCACACCAUGGGAGUGGGUUUCACCAGAAGUAGGUAGCCUAACCGUAAGGAGGGCGCUUACCACGGUGGGAUUCAUGACUGGGGUGAAGUCGUAACAAGGUAACCGAAGGGGGAAUUCGUUUAAAC